RNAcentral lists this ribosomal RNA (675 nucleotides) under Triticum aestivum (bread wheat). Its description in RNAcentral is "partial small subunit ribosomal RNA". The record is from RNAcentral. Lineage: Eukaryota; Viridiplantae; Streptophyta; Magnoliopsida; Poales; Poaceae.
AUGGCCGACCUCGGCAGCUUCGGCAGGCGGCGGCAGCCGACUGCUGCGGAGGUGGUGGGGCGCCUCAAGGAUGACGGAGAUUUCGACGCCCUCCGCCGCGCCAUCGUCCGCAAGGUCAAGGACAACGAGGUGCUGCGCAACAACAUAAUCACAGAAGUGAAGCAGUCAAUGGUACUAAGUGAAGAUGGCUCUGAAAAGUUAAAGCUAAAAGAACUCUCUGAUGCGAUUUUUCAAGACGUAGGGAGCAAAAUAAUGGGUCAAAUAUCAGACGAGGUGUGGAGUGUCAUCCAGUCAGGUGAAACUGAUAUCCGAGGAAGUGUGGAAGCUGUCUUCGAUAGGAUAAUGAACCCUGAACAGCAACAGGACACAGGGCCUUCUCCCAAGAAGCUGAAGAGAAAUGGCAAAGGAGAGCAAGUUUCGCCAGCAAAGGCAUCAGCCCCUGUUACUGUCCAGGUGGAAGAUGAUGAUCCAGAGGAACCACCAGGGUUUGGUUUGAGUGACCUUCAGCGCAGCAACAUGGUAGUAAAGCAGGAGCAGCCAUGUGAUGAUGGGCAGAAUCAUACCCAAGUGAAACCAAAUGGUGGUGAGCUAGUGGGAGCUGGUAGCUUGGGGGACGCCGAUGAUGAGGAUCCUGAUGUGCCUCCUGGAUUUGAUGCGCCUCCUGGAUUUGGUUAA